Parus major (Great Tit) is the source of this 703-nucleotide long non-coding RNA. RefSeq lists it as uncharacterized. NCBI's taxonomy places the organism in Eukaryota, Metazoa, Chordata, Aves, Passeriformes, Paridae. The transcript has 2 exons. The record is from RefSeq and is a predicted model, not a curated record.
AAAGGUCUGAUGAGAGGUCCCAGAAUGGGACCAGUUAGCCCACAGCACUGCCUCAGUCCCAGGUAUCCCGUGGCCAUGGGAGGGCUCCCACUCUCUGAUGGGACAGUCCCCCUGCCACAGCACUCCCCUGUCCUUCAGCCCUGCUCAAAGGCUCAGGAACCUGCUUUUCAGGAUCCAGGGAAAGAAGGGAUGGGGCUCUGGAGAAGUUCAGAAGCAAAAUUAAUCCUACAGCUGUCCAUGGGACAAAAGUGGUGACUGGGAUCACUGGGUACCCUGGAAAGCAAGGAGGCUGCAAACCCCAUGAGAGCCCUGCAGAUAUGCAGCUGCUCAUGCAGUGGGACAGUGAAGAGCACUGAGACACUGUCCCUUUUCCCCUGUAAGCUUGGGCACCACAGCCCCUCAUCUGCAGAGGCACCCAGAGCUGGAGCUGCUGCACAGGAGCAGAGCAGGCUGCAGGUGCCCUCAGCAGCAGGCCACUGUUGAGCCUUGAUCCGGAUGUGGUGUUUGCAAGGAGAUUCCUAACCUGAACGUGUGGCACAGAGUCAACAGUGCUCAGCAAGUGGCUCACAUGGCUUCAGUCUGCUGCAAACACCUUCUGGUAAAACUUCCCCCCAAAAAAUAAACACAGGCACACUGAAGGCUCUUGUGUUAAGAUUUAAUAAUAAUAAUAAUAAUAAUAAUAAUAACAACAUUUCAAAAACAA